UGGGGAAUAUUGGACAAUGGGCGAAAGCCUGAUCCAGCCAUGCCGCGUGAGUGAUGAAGGCCUUAGGGUUGUAAAGCUCUUUUAGCAGGGAAGAUAAUGACGGUACCUGCAGAAAAAGCCCCGGCUAACUUCGUGCCAGCAGCCGCGGUAAUACGAAGGGGGCUAGCGUUGCUCGGAAUUACUGGGCGUAAAGCGCACGUAGGCGGACUCUCAAGUCGGUGGUGAAAUCCUGGAGCUCAACUCCAGAACUGCCUUCGAUACUGGGAGUCUUGAUUUCGGGAGAGGUGAGUGGAACUGCGAGUGUAGAGGUGAAAUUCGUAGAUAUUCGCAAGAACACCAGUGGCGAAGGCGGCUCACUGGCCCGAUACUGACGCUGAGGUGCGAAAGCGUGGGGAGCAAACA
RNAcentral lists this ribosomal RNA (402 nucleotides) under uncultured bacterium. Its description in RNAcentral is "bacterial SSU rRNA". It matches the Rfam family "Bacterial small subunit ribosomal RNA", at positions 355 to 774 of the family's 1533-position model. The record is from RNAcentral.